UGGUGACUUUUUUUUUUGUAACUGUCCCUAUAAAUAAAAACUAUAUUUUGAUCGUUACUAAUAAGUUUUAUUUGUAGUUCCAGGUAAGAAGCUACAGCACAUUUGCCCCUGCGGUAGGAAAUUCUCCCAUCGAUUUAAUCUCGAAUACCACAAAAAGGCAGAGUGUGGAAUCAUUUUCCAGUGCAACCACUGCCCGAAGAAUUUCAAAUCUAAGAAGUCCCUGAAAAUACACACAUUUUCCCUCCACGGGAAACCAUCGUAGAUUUGUUUUCCCCAAGUCAUUUAAACGGAAUGGGCAAAGAUAAAGGCAACAGACGUCUGAUCAAAGUUAUGUUUCAUAUGUCUAGAAAUAAAAUUGAAAUUGUAAAUAAAAUUUUCAACCAGCUCCAUUCUACGAACUUUACACUUUUUCAAAAACAUUUGGUUUUUUUAAGUUUGUACCAGGGAGUUCACCCAUGAAUACUUUCUGAACCUCAGAACACACCGCCCAAAGUGUUUCGGUUCCAUAGACAGAAGAGUUAUAAAGGAAGCAUUUUUUUGACAACAAAAAUGCUCAGGAAGACGUACUUCAUGCUACGAUGAUCCUGGAAAAUGUAUAUAAUAAAAUAUAAGGAAAUAAUCACAGCCAAAGUUUUCCUGUACACAGUUGACAUUUUUCUAAAUGUUAACUUUAGUCAAAAGAAAGAGAGAAGAAAAAAAUGAAAGACAAAAACCAUUGCUAUUUAAAAUUUUUAAAAAUGAACGCAUUUUGUAUGUUAAAUAAAGUUGUGAAAAGAUGUACUUUUCGUUGAUUUCGAGAUUUGUACAUUAUUGAAUAAAAUAUUUUAAGAUGUUUCCCAUGGCUUUACUAUUUCCAGCGAAACUUCUUGAUAUUUUUUAUUACUAAAAGCAGGUCCCCGUCUUAGAAUAACUUGUAUUUGUUAAAAUAAACAUAACAAAAAUUUAAAACGACCUCACAGAAAAAGCAGUAAAUAGAGCGACUUGAUGUUCUCACAAACCAGGUGUACUUAGCCAUGCAACAAGUGCACAGAUGGUCCGAUAAAUAGGAAGCCACAUUAAGUUAAGUUGCAAUAAUUGGACAGCCGAUCACAUAAAUAAUGGCGAGCUAUUUAGUUGUCACAAGGGCAAAAAUACUAUGCAAUUUUGGACAUCCUAAAUCGGGGUCGGGUCAGGUGCGUGGCACUUGUCUUUGCCGGUCCACCCACAGUAUGGGAACUCACCUCACUUUUGAUGUUCCUUUCUGCCUUCAAAAGUCAGUUCAGGGGCUAAAACCAGUGAGUCCCCCGUCCAAGAGCUCUUACCAGUGGUCUAUUUAAUAGUGAUUUAUGAAAGUUUUUCAUGUUAUCAAGGGGUUGGGAUGCCGAGGAAGACAGGAAAAACAUUCUGCUUCGACUGCAAGAGCUUUGAAGCAGGGAAUUUGGCAACUGUGCAGGUUUCGUCUGCGAGUGUGGCAAAGUGUACAAAAACAAGAACGACCGAGCUAGACACCAGAGACGAGAAUGCGGCAAAGAACCGAUCAUCGCGUGUCAGUUCUGCGAUUAUAAAUGCUAUUGGAUAUCCAACUUGAAAAUACACGUUAUGAACCGUCACAUGAAAUCCAAAAUACCUUUGUAAAAGAAAAAAGUUCGAUUUUAGUAAUAAACAGCUUAUUUUUCAGU
Cimex lectularius (bed bug) is the source of this 1658-nucleotide long non-coding RNA. RefSeq lists it as uncharacterized. The record is from RefSeq and is a predicted model, not a curated record. The transcript is spliced from 2 exons. Lineage: Eukaryota; Metazoa; Arthropoda; Insecta; Hemiptera; Cimicidae.